Pan troglodytes (chimpanzee) is the source of this 2397-nucleotide long non-coding RNA. RefSeq lists it as uncharacterized. The record is from RefSeq and is a predicted model, not a curated record. Lineage: Eukaryota; Metazoa; Chordata; Mammalia; Primates; Hominidae. The transcript has 3 exons.
GGGCCCUCUGGGGACUGUCAGGAGACAGCCUCUGUUUUAUUAGGAAAUAAAACAGAAUCUGGUCUGCUCCAGUUUUCUUCCUUUUAUUUACUGCAUUAGAAGACUUUCAUUCUAUUUAUUGCCUAUUCUGGGGGUUGAGGGUGAGGGGAAGGCAUGACUCCAGCCAGGUAGGAUACAAAAGUAUCUCACCCCCCAGGAGGGGUUUGAGGACCGGCCCUCCGGCUUUUAGAGAAGGGCAGCUGGCUUCUGUUGCUAACGAUUUGGAUUUGGCUUUUAACAGAAUAUCAAGGUGAAAGUGAAAGGAGCUUUUCACUCCCUGGAGAGUCAAGAGGGUGUGGGGUGGGACCUCCGGGGGAAUGAGGAGUAAGCGAGGGUGCUGGGGGGAUCCCAGACCUAGGAAUCAGAUCUGGGGAAGGGGUCUGCAAGACCCCUCCAUGAGUCAGGAAAAGCCGGUGGGUGGAUGGUGAGAAGGACCAGUGAAGACACUGUUUGCUGGAGUUGUCCCAGCCAGUGGCUAUGACUGAGAUUGUCCCAUGGCGUGUGCCCAGGGUCCUGCCAUUGGAUGAUGGGACAUUCUUUUUUUUUUUUUUUUUGAGACGGAGUCUCGCUCUGUCAUCCAGAGCUGGAGUGCAGUGGCGCGAUCUCAACUCGCUGCAGCCUCCACCUCCCGGAUUCAAGCAAUUCUCCUGCCUCAGCCUCCCAAGUAGCUGGGAUUACAGGCGUGGGCCACCACAUCUGGCUAAUUUUUGUAUUUUUAGUAGAGACGGAGUUUCUACUCCAUCAGGCUGGUCUCCAACUUCUGGCCUCAAGUGAUCCGCUGCCUCGGCCUCCCAAAGUGCUGGGAUUACAGACGUGAGUCACUGUGCCUGGCCUGGAUGGAACAUUCUGCUCUUUCUCCAUCUGCUGCCUACCCAUGAUGUCUUGGGACUCCUAGAGCCCUAAAGGAAGCCCCUGGACAUGCAGGAAGGUGAUCCAGAAUUACUCCCGAACUCUACCAGCUGAAAUCCUCCUCAACUCACAUCAGACAAGACGGCCCUGCCACUUACCUGUCAGAUCACUUUGGGCAGUUUACAGGAGAGAAGAUGCAGCCUGGGAGAGAUGUAGCAGGUGUCUGAGGUCACACAGCAAGUCACCCAGGGCCAGGAUCUGAAGCUGGGUCUCUCCAGCUCCACUGCCUGGGCACUUUCUCCUCCACAGCGACCUUCAGGUCAUCAUGAGGAGCCUUUCAGACUAAAGCUAGAGAGCUGGGAUUCCAACAGUUCAGCAACCCAUGACUUCUCCAUGGCAGCUGCUGCCUGACCACCUAGUGCCUUUCCACUAAGAUUGUUCCUUCCCUCUCCUGAAGAUUAUCCUCCUGCCCCUCUCUCCCAAACAUCUGCGGUGUGCACCUGCUGCCCAAAGUUGAACUUUUUUUUGUUAGAGACAGGGCCUCACUGUGUCAUCCAGGCUGGAGUGCAGUGGCAUGAUCAUAGCUCACUGUAGCCUCCAACUCCUGGGCUCAAGUGACCCUCUCACCUCAGCUUCCUGAGUAGCUGGGACUACAGGCAUGCACCACCACGCCUGGCUAAUUUUUAAAUUUUUUGCAGAGACAGGGUCUAGCUAUGUUGCCCACCCUGGUCUUGAACUCCUGGGCUCAAGCAAUCUGUCUGCCUUGGUCUCCCAGUGCGCUGGGAUUACAGGCAUGAAUCACCAUGCCCGGUCCUCCAAAGUUGAACUUUUGAGACUCAGUUUCCUUCUUGGUAAAUUCAGGCUCCUACGUGCUACCUCCUCAGAGACAUCCUCCUUGACCACAUCACAUGACCUCUCACAGAGGCCAGAUUCUUUAAUGUAUUCAUUUGUCUAUUAUCAUGUUUCCCCACUAGAAGUUGCACAAACGGCAGGGGCUUCAUCUGUUUUGUUUGCCGUUAUGUCCUUAGCACCUAAAAUUGUGCCUGGCACAUACAGUACUCAGUAUGUAUUUGCUGGGUCAAUGAGUGAGUGAAUUUAUACUAAUAACAGCAGCUACCAUUUCUAGAGUGUUUACCAUAUGUUGGGCACUGUGUCAAUCUUCCCAGCAACCCACAGACGAAGAUCAAUUAUUACACCCAUUGUACAGAUCAGGAAACUGAGUCAGGUUAAGAAACUUGCCCUAAAUCCUACAGUCUCACUUGGAACUUCUGACUGCAGUGCUCAUCAGAAUGCAUUGUCAACCCAAAGGUCAUUUCCAGCUCGGGUGGCUUCUAUCAACAGAGCUCAUCCUGGCCUUUCCAAGAGCCAGACCUCCGACAUUGGUGGAGCCCUGUGCAUAGCUGGCCUCUCCUGGGCGUCUUGUCCCAAGUACAGAGACCUGGAUCCUUUCCCACUCAUGUGCAACAGCCCAAAAUUAAAAACAAAAGCCAUAUUAAAAAACAAAACCAA